This 395-nucleotide ribosomal RNA is filed under the name uncultured bacterium. RNAcentral's name for it is "bacterial SSU rRNA". It matches the Rfam family "Bacterial small subunit ribosomal RNA", at positions 28 to 426 of the family's 1533-position model. The record is from RNAcentral.
GACGAACGCUGGCGGCGUGCUUAACACAUGCAAGUCGAACGGAAAGGCCCUUUCGGGGGUACUCGAGUGGCGAACGGGUGAGUAACACGUGGGUGAUCUGCCCUGCACUUCGGGAUAAGCUUGGGAAACUGGGUCUAAUACCGGAUAGGACUACGGACUGCAUGGUCUGUGGUGGAAAGCUUUUGCGGUGUGGGAUGGGCCCGCGGCCUAUCAGCUUGUUGGUGGGGUGAUGGCCUACCAAGGCGACGACGGGUAGCCGGCCUGAGAGGGUGUCCGGCCACACUGGGACUGAGAUACGGCCCAGACUCCUACGGGAGGCAGCAGUGGGGAAUAUUGCGCAAUGGCCGUAAGGCUGACGCAGCGACGCCGCGUGUGGGAGGACGCCUUUCGGGUGU